ACUCAAAGGAAUUGACGGGGGCCCGCACAAGCGGUGGAUUAUGUGGUUUAAUUCGAUGAUACGCGAGGAACCUUACCAAGGCUUAAAUGGGAAUUGACAGGUUUAGAAAUAGACUUUUCUUCGGACAAUUUUCAAGGUGCUGCAUGGUUGUCGUCAGCUCGUGCCGUGAGGUGUUAGGUUAAGUCCUGCAACGAGCGCAACCCCUGUCACUAGUUGCCAUCAUUCAGUUGGGGACUCUAGUGAGACUGCCUACGCAAGUAGAGAGGAAGGUGGGGAUGACGUCAAAUCAUCACGGCCCUUACGCCUUGGGCCACACACGUAAUACAAUGGCCGGUACAGAGGGCAGCUACCUAGCGAUAGGAUGCGAAUCUCGAAAGCCGGUCUCAGUUCGGAUUGGAGUCUGCAACUCGACUCUAUGAAGCUGGAAUCGCUAGUAAUCGCGCAUCAGCCAUGGCGCGGUGAAUACGUUCCCGGGCCUUGUACACACCGCCCGU
Molecule: ribosomal RNA, 494 nt
Filed under: uncultured bacterium
Lineage: Bacteria
Description: partial 16S ribosomal RNA
Rfam family: Bacterial small subunit ribosomal RNA
Source: RNAcentral